This 949-nucleotide long non-coding RNA is filed under the name Anser brachyrhynchus (Pink-footed goose). Its description in RNAcentral is "lncRNA (ENSABRG00000019099.1)". The record is from RNAcentral. Lineage: Eukaryota; Metazoa; Chordata; Aves; Anseriformes; Anatidae.
UUGGGAAGCAGUUCUUUUUCUUCUGAAAUUGAGUUUUGAGAGAAAUCCAUGUAUAAAUAUAUACUUACACACAUUAAAUUUUCUUGUCAUGUGAACUUUUUUUGAGGUUUGUAAUUGUCCUGUAGUUUGGUUCAUUCACAUUCCCAUAUCCAUCUAAGGGUUGUAAUUCCUGGAGAACAAGAAUGAAAAAUGAACCAAGUCCUUCCUCAUGCCAAAUAAUGGCUGUGCAUCAGGGCAGCUGAAAGGUUUUUUCCCAUAAGAAUGAGCGGUAAACGCAGCUGUUGGAGAUGAGUGGGUGAUCCUCUCUCCUUUAUCAGCUCUUGGCUUCUACAUUUGAGCAGUGAUCAGUGUAUUGCAGCAAUUGGUGCUAGCUGAAUCCAUUUUUACAUCUGAGUACAUAAAGAUGUUUGGAAGACAAGGUAAUAUUCAGGUCUCUGUAUGACCCCACAUUUUUGGCACAACUGACAAGUACAGAUAGCUGUCUGGAGGAGAAAGGGCUGCAUAAGCUCCUUCUGCUGCCAAGAAUUUGUACAUCGGAGUGAACUGAAAAAAAGGCUUCUGCAUAGACGACACAGAUGGAAGUACAUCAGCAAUGGGGAAAAAAAGGUCCUGUGACGUAGAUGGCUUGCUUGAGCUUGUACACAACAUAUUCAGUGGAACGGGAAAGCACCGAACUAUAAACUUCCAGACACUGCUGCAAGGAGCUGGCCUGCUACCACAUUCUAAAACUCUUCUCCAAACACUCUUUGAACCCUGAAUUUUUGGAUCUUUUCCAUAAAAGAGAGUCCAUAAUACAGAUUCAUCUUUGAGAGGACUUAAGGAAGAAUUAUGGUACUGAGGUUUUUUGUAUUUUCUAAUUGUAUAUUUGCCCUUUGUUUCAAUAUUCCGCUCUUUAUACAAGCUCCACAAUCAAGAAUAAAUAUUUACUGUAGAAUUUAGGUGGAUGUCA